AAAUAAAUAACGUGGGAAGAAAUCAAGAAGGAAUACAAUUUUUUUUCAACAUUUUCUUAUUUGACCAACUUUAAAACUAUCAUGCUUAAAAGAACCAAAAAUUAGUCCAUCUAAACAGACUCCAAAAUUAGAAAUGCUGUACAAGUUUCUAAUAUGGAAAGAACAAAGGGAGUCUCAUCAUUCUUCCAGAAAAGAUAACAUGCUAUCACUUCUUCACAAACCUAAAAUAUUAUGUUGCAACGACGUAUGGAUGCACAGCUUAAGCACCGGUCUCCUCCUCACUUGCCAAAACGACCCCUAGCCCAUGGCGCUACAUGCUGACCACCUCCAUUUCUCCUUGGCAUGUUGUUCUGCUGAGAUUGCAUUUUCAUCCUUUGUUCCUUCAUAUUUGCAAAUAGAGAAUCUAAUGUCUGAGGCCUCUGCUUUGACACUGGCUUGACUUCCUGCUUUUGUUGCUUAGCAAUAAACCUGCCACCAUUUGCAGCACUCUUCUGAACUGGAGGAGCCCCAAACCUGCACAAGUAACAAAAAGAGAAUUGAAGAGACUGUAGGGAGAAGUGCUUAUCCGCAGAUUACUUACUAAAGGGUGAGCAGCACCAAGAUGAAGAGGAAAUCCCCAGUGAGAUCAUUAUGCACGUAGUUUUUUUACUUCCAACUUACCAUCGGUCCUCAAAUUAAAACUUCUCAACUGGCCAAACCUUAGAAACAGUAGCAGCAUCCCGAACAAAAAUCGAUAGCUUUCAGCUCACCCCCCACCAGAAGGUAAGUCAAACUAGAACUAACAGAAACACAGAUGUGGAAGAAAUGUCGUCUUGGGUUUUUGGACAACUUUCAUCAGUCAAAUAUCCAAUAAUAUGCCCAACUUCAGCAGAACGGCUUUCACCACGAAACUAGAACUGCUUCAAUAGAGUUGCAGCAAACUUCCCAACAUAACAUAAUUCAACACAAAAUGUAAAGCCCUCCACACGUCCCACAAACCCAACUGUUUCUGUUAAAGAGCUUAAGUACAACAUGCAAUCUCUAUCCUCCAAAACACUGCCACAAGGUUACGGCACAAACAAGAGUUGGAUACACGCCGACACAAAGAGAAGUAUCACCAUUUACGUGACCCGCAACAGCAAUUUCAAAAAUCAAUAAUACCAUAACACCCACAAAAUAAUACAAAAAUGCUUCUGUAAGGUAUCGAAGGCAAAACUUAAAAUGCACAGCAGCCUCGCGAACUCAUAGCUGAAAGAAAUCUGAUGAAUGCCAUGUGUCUAUGCUCCAUGCAUUCCCAAACUUCUCAUCAACAUAAAUUUUGAUGGUUGGGCAGCGGAAAGAAAAUGAGGAAAACUGCUAAUUAAUAUCCCAAAAAGAAAUUCAAAGACAUUUGUCUCCAAGUCUCCCCGAACUUCUUAUCAACAAAACAUUUGGCACUUUGAAGAGGAAAGAAAAUGAGAAAGAAUUGAUAAUCCAAAAACCCGAGGGAAUUCAAGGAAAAUUCCUUGAGAAAUAGUUGAGUCACUUCGAACAGAAUCUUCCAUCAGGACAUCCUUUCUGUACCCAAAAGAAAAUCACUGAUAAUCAAUUUCCAUAGAAUUGAGUUGCCAUGGGACAAAGUUAUCCAAGGCAUUUGUUCAUAUGAAGCCACCAUUCCAAAACCUCAAACUAACAAGUCAUAGUAUACACCAUGUUCCCUACCAGACAAAUCCUUGGAAACUAUGCAGUUACCACAACACAGGAAAAUCUCAUUAUAACAUAUCUUUAUGCCAGCUCCCAGAUGCACUUUAAAUCCACAUUAAGAGUUCCACAUCUUGUAGUGUCCUGAUACCAACUUAAAAAGAGAGAAACUCAAAUACAAUACAUGCACAACAAACUGGUCAACCAACAUGUUGUAGAAGGAUGUAACUUUUCUGAGGUAAAAUAACCAUAUCAUUUGACACUUGAACAAACUUCCAAAGACUGCAACUUCAAUAUCUCCCCACCGGAUUAACAGGGAACAGCAUGCUUUUGAAGUAUAUAAAAUGAAGGAGAGACACAUGGCAAAUUCAUCUACAAUAAAUAGGACCACAAUUUACCUCUGUUUAUUUACAUUCACUGCCUGGCUUCGAUUGAAAGCCCUAUUGCGAAUAGGAGCAACUGCUGCCCUUCUGGCAGCCUCAGUUGCCAAAGGAAACUGGUCUCCCUGAAAAUUUGAUCUUCUUUGAGCAAGAGCCCCCUGUCUCAUAGAUGAUCUUGUGUCCAUAAACCUUUGUAUCUUAGCAGAUUUAUCCUGAGCCAGGUUAUUAGAAAACUUUUGGCUUCUAUUCGAAACUCUUUGCUUCUUAGUUUUGGUUGUGUUUGUCUUGGACAUCUUGAUGAUAUCGUCUAAUGUCAUGUCCAUUUUCUUCUCAGUAAGUGCAAUAGUCUCAGUUGUCAGUAUUUUAGCUGCCAUCUGUUUAUGUUUGUGAAAUCGAAUAGAAGAUGAUGAAGCUGAUGUUGAAUGCUAGGGUUUCGAUUUUUUGAGAAGAAGAAGACGGCGAAUUUAGUGUGAUGAAAA
RNAcentral lists this unclassified non-coding RNA (2518 nucleotides) under Hevea brasiliensis (rubber tree). Lineage: Eukaryota; Viridiplantae; Streptophyta; Magnoliopsida; Malpighiales; Euphorbiaceae. The record is from RNAcentral.